CAGUAGCCACGGUAACACGGAGGGGGCUAGCGUUGUUCGGAAUUACUGGGCGUAAAGCGCACGUAGGCGGCUUGGUAAGUUAGAGGUGAAAGCCUGGAGCUCAACUCCAGAAUUGCCUUUAAGACUGCCGAGCUAGCAGGUGAGAGAGGUAAGUGGAAUUCCGAGUGUAGAGGUGAAAUUCGUAGAUAUUCGGAAGAACACCAGUGGCGAAGGCGGCUUACUGGCUCAUACUGGACGCUGAGGUGCGAAAGCGUGGGGAGCAAACAGGAUUAGAUACCCGCGUAGUCCCUGUCUCUUAUAC
This 301-nucleotide ribosomal RNA is filed under the name uncultured bacterium. Its description in RNAcentral is "partial 16S ribosomal RNA". It matches the Rfam family "Bacterial small subunit ribosomal RNA", at positions 509 to 807 of the family's 1533-position model. The record is from RNAcentral.